RNAcentral lists this transfer RNA (76 nucleotides) under Thermoproteota archaeon. RNAcentral describes it as "tRNA-Glu". It matches the Rfam family "tRNA". Rfam says of the family: Transfer RNA (tRNA) molecules are approximately 80 nucleotides in length. Their secondary structure includes four short double-helical elements and three loops (D, anti-codon, and T loops). Further hydrogen bonds mediate the characteristic L-shaped molecular structure. tRNAs have two regions of fundamental functional importance: the anti-codon, which is responsible for specific mRNA codon recognition, and the 3' end, to which the tRNAs corresponding amino acid is attached (by aminoacyl-tRNA synthetases). tRNAs cope with the degeneracy of the genetic code in two manners: having more than one tRNA (with a specific anti-codon) for a particular amino acid; and 'wobble' base-pairing, i.e. permitting non-standard base-pairing at the 3rd anti-codon position. Lineage: Archaea; Thermoproteati; Thermoproteota. The record is from RNAcentral. RNAcentral also lists the same sequence under 1 other name.
GCUCCGGUGGUGUAGCCCGGUUAAACAUAUCGGCCUUUCGAGCCGAGGAUCGCGGGUUCAAAUCCCGCCCGGAGCA